RNAcentral lists this ribosomal RNA (456 nucleotides) under Abbottina rivularis (Chinese false gudgeon). RNAcentral describes it as "partial 12S ribosomal RNA". It matches the Rfam family "Bacterial small subunit ribosomal RNA", at positions 753 to 1413 of the family's 1533-position model. Lineage: Eukaryota; Metazoa; Chordata; Actinopteri; Cypriniformes; Gobionidae. The record is from RNAcentral.
UAUAAAGCUUCAAACUGGGAUUAGAUACCCCACUAUGCUCAGCCAUAAACCAAGACGUCCAACUACAAUCAGACGUCCGCCAGGGUACUACGAGCAUCAGCUUGAAACCCAAAGGACCUGACGGUGCCUUAGAUCCCCCUAGAGGAGCCUGUUCUAGAACCGAUAACCCCCGUUAAACCUCACCACUUCUAGCCACCCCAGCCUAUAUACCGCCGUCGCCAGCUUACCCUGUGAAGGUAAUAAAAGUAAGCAAAAUGGGCACAGCCCAGAACGUCAGGUCGAGGUGUAGCGUACGAAAUGGGAAGAAAUGGGCUACAUUUUUUGCUAUCAUAACACUACGGACAUGCAACAUGAAAUAGUGCUUAAAGGAGGAUUUAGUAAUAAAAAGGAAGCAGAGUGUCCUUUUGAACCCGGCUCUAAGGCGCGUACACACCGCCCGUCACCCUCUGCAAACAA